RNAcentral lists this non-coding RNA (693 nucleotides) under Brassica napus (rape). Its description in RNAcentral is "rRNA SSU_rRNA_eukarya". It matches the Rfam family "Eukaryotic small subunit ribosomal RNA", at positions 637 to 1112 of the family's 1831-position model. Lineage: Eukaryota; Viridiplantae; Streptophyta; Magnoliopsida; Brassicales; Brassicaceae. The record is from Rfam by way of RNAcentral.
GGUCUCAAUUAUAUCAAUGUAUGGAUAUUUCUCGAAUUAAUAAAGUAAUUGUUUUCUAUGCGCUUCAUGAGUACUCUGAUAUUUGACUAGUCCGGUCUAACUCAUCGUUAGGUCGUAGUACGGGUUGAAAAGCCUUAGGCCUCGAUCUAACGGAAAACGCUAACUCUUGGCAGGGUUGCAAAGCCUUGUGCCUUGAUUUAGCAGGACGAGUUAGUGGAUGAACUGGUCUAGGUCGUGGAGUAAAUUUUAUGACUCUGACCGGAACGUCCCUAGCCCGUCACGUAAUGCUUCCGGACCAUGGUGUUGGGUUGGACGGUCAGUCAUGUUCUUGUUUGAUUGUAGGUUGGCCGGUUGGCUCAUUCAUCUCCAACCCUGGGUGUUGGACGGUCGAUCAGUCGUGUUCUUGUUUGAUUGUUGGCCGGUUGAUCGACCUAUGCUUAGGACGGUUCGGGGGUGUUACAGUCGGGGGCAUUCAUAUUUCAUAGUCAGAGGUGAAAUUCUUGGAUUUAUGAAAGACAAACAACUGCGAAAGCAUUUGCCAAGGAUGUUUUCAUUAAUCAAGAACGAAAGUUGGGGGCUCGAAGACGAUCAUAUACCGUCCUAGUCUCAACCAUAAACGAUGCCGACCAGGGAUCAGCGGAUGAUGCUUUUAGGACUCCGCUGGCACCUUAUGAGAAAUCAAAGUUUUUGGGU